AGAAUUGAUCUGGUUCAGAACGAACGCUGGUGGCGUGUCUAUACAUGCAAGUCGAGCGAGGCAGCAAUGCCGAGCGGCGAACGGGUGAGUAACGCGUAAGCAAUCUGCCCCAUAUCAGGAAAUACCCGUGCCAACGCGCGGUUAAUGUCCAGGAGAGUGGCCCUCUGCAUGGAGGGUUGACUAGAGAUUUAUCGGUAUGGGAUGAGCUUGCGUCCGAUUAGCUAGUUGGCGGGGCAACGGCCCACCAAGGCGACGAUCGGUAGCCGGCCUGAGAGGGUGAUCGGCCACAUUGGGACUGAGAUACGGCCCAGACUCCUACGGGAGGCAGCAGUAGGGAAUAUUGCACAAUGGGGGAAACCCUGAUGCAGCAACGCCACGUGUGGGAAGAAGCAUUUCGGUGUGUAAACCACUGUCAUGAGGGAAUAAGGCCCGCCUUCGGACGGGAUUGAAUGUACCUUGAGAGGAAGCACCGGCAAACUUCGUGCCAGCCGCCGC
This 495-nucleotide ribosomal RNA is filed under the name uncultured bacterium. RNAcentral's name for it is "bacterial SSU rRNA". It matches the Rfam family "Bacterial small subunit ribosomal RNA", at positions 8 to 518 of the family's 1533-position model. The record is from RNAcentral.